GGGAGCUUUGCCCCUCACGGAGAACGUUAGUUGACCCUGAUGGGGACCCGUAGGGUAAAGGUUUUGUUUUUGUUUUUUUUUACGGAAAAGGUUGUGGUUAGGCCCCUUGGAAAGUUGCGACAAAACUCGAGUUAGACAAGGAAGGUCGGAACUAAGUGGCCACAGCAACAAUGCACCAGCAAGCAGGGAGCGUGAUAGGAAGAGCUAAAGAGGAAUCGGGAAACCCUGGGUAAAAGUCGUCCAAGUGGAACUUCCUUUGGUCGGGGGUCUGAUACUCGAAGGAAACGGUCUUUCACUUCUGGGUUAGGGCGUCCGCCCAGAGGGCGACUGCAAUGAAGGAAAUUGUGCCCUGCGACUUCCCGUAACAGAGCUGUGUGUCCACGCUCCCUUUUCCGAGCAGGCGCGGACGCUUGUGCCGGAAGUAAACUUGUUAACGGUUCUUUGCCUUUUGGGGAGGGGAGACAGCCCAGAGAAGGCUUUGGAGACCCUUGAGUCGGCCAGCGAGCAGGGUUUCUUACUUGAGCGCCUCCACAAAUAAACGCUCCUUCGCUCCUCCGUCGCGUGCGUUUCCCUGGGAUAAUAAGUGGGAAAGUGGUGGCUUUUAUUUUUUUGAGACAGGGUCUCACCGCCGUCGCCCAGGCCGGAUGGAGUGCAGUGGCGCGAUCACGGCUCACUGCAGCCUCGACUUCCCAGGCUCAGAGAUGGGUUUCACCAUGUUUCCCAGCCUUGUCUCAAACUCCUGACCUCAAGUGAUCCGCCGUCUUGGGUCUUCGAAAGUGCUGGGACAGCAGGAGUGAGCCACCGCAUCUGGCCCGGAAAGUGUUUUGGAGCGUAGAAAAAUGCAAAUUAUAGGGCUGCCUUCAAGGAUCCCGAAGGACCCACAGAUUUGCCGCAUCAGGCUCCUAUGCACGCCGGUAAUUUGAUGUGUUGAGAUGCACUGCCCAGUGCGUUGUUUUUACUGGAGGAGCUUGUGUGCGGAGCUCCUUGCUAGUGUAUGUGUUGGGAUGGGAGAGAAGUGCGGGAGAACUAUGAGAUAAUGCCCCCUGAUCCUCAGGGUCUUAGGAGGUAUGGUCGGAGAGGCUAAGCUAAAGUAUGAAAGCCGUGUGUAGGCCCUUCUGUGUAGUGCAGAAAAGGUAGAGGUAUGUGAUUUGAAAGAGUAGGGAUGACAUGGAGGAUGCGACUCCUGGUUGGAUCUAUAAACUAAUGUCUUUGGAACGAAAGCACAUGCAACCUUUUGAAAAUGGAUGGGUGAUAAUGAAAGACCAUUCCAGAGAAGAAACACCAUGGUGCAAAGGCUCAAGAGGCAUACUGGAAGUACAAUGAAGAGAGCAAUCUAACUGAAAUGGGAAAAAAAGAAACAAAGAGUAAAAAGUAAGAUUUGAUGAGAAAGAUGGAAUCGAUUUUUAAAUUUUUUUAUCUACACAACAAAAUUUAUUAUCUUAACCAUUUUUGAGUGAAUAAUUCGUUAGUAUUAAGUAUAUUUACCUCGUGCGGCCAGUCUCCAGAAUUCUUUUCAUCUUGCAAAACAAACCCCGAACCCAUUAAACAAUUUCUCAUUCGCCAUUUUCCAGCUAGCCUUGGUAACCUCCAUUCUAGUUCUGUCUCUGUGAAUUUGACUGUGUACCCCGUGUAAGUGGUAUCAUACAGUAUUUGUAUUUUUGUGACUGGCAUAUUUCACAUAGCAUAAUCUCCUUGUGGUUUAUCCAUCUUGUAGCAUGUGUCAGAAUUUCCUUCCCUUUUAAGACUAAAUAAUAUUCCAUUGUGUGUAUAUACCACUUGUGUUAUUUCCACCUUUUGGUUAUUGUGAAUAAUACUGCUUCAAACAUGAGUGUACAGAUAACUCUUCAAGAUCCUUUUAGGGUAAUACAGAGAUAGUAAGUUAUCUUGAUUGUUCACUGCCAGUUACAGACCAAACUCCUUGUUCUCCUUGUGCUCCACUUCUCAACCACUGCACUUGGCUAGUCUUAAACAAAAAAAGAAAAACCCUAAUUUUAAUAGCUUGUGGGGACAGACGCAGUGGCUCACGCCUAUAAUCCCAACACUUUGGGAGGCCGAGGUGGGUGGAUCACUUGAGGUCAAAAGUUCGAGACCAGCCUGGCCAAUAUGGUAAAACCCUGUCUCUACUAAAAAUACAAAAAUUAGCCGGGUACGGUGGCACACACCUGUAAUCCCAGCCACUCAGGAGACUGAGGCAGGAGAAAUGCUUGAACCCAGGAAGUGGAGGUUGUGGUGAACGGAAAUUGCGCCGCCGCACUCAAGCUGGGCGACAGCGAGACUCCGUCUCAAAAAUUAGUAUUAAUAGAAUGUGGGAGAUUUUGAAACCAAGUAUAGAAAUUCAUACUUUAUAUUGUUUAAGGUCCGUGACUAGGCAUAGUAACAUGAUGAAAGAACUGUUUUGGGUUUGUUUGGUUUUUUUCCGAGACAGAGUCUCACUCUGUUGCCCAGGCUGGCGUGCAGUGGUGCGAUCUCGGCUCACUGCAACCUCUGCCUCCCUGGUUGAAGCGAUUCUCUUUCCUCAGCCUCCUGAGUAGCUGGGACUACAGGCACAUGCCACCACGCCCAGCUAAUCGUUGUAUUUUUAGUAGAGGCGGGGUUUCACCAUGUUGGCCAGGAUGGUCUCGAUCUCUUGACCUCGUGAUCCAGCCUCCCAAAGUGCUGGGAUUACAGGCAGGAGCCACCACGCCCAGCUAGAAAGAUCUGUUUCAGAAAGCAACUCUGGCAGUGGAAGCUGAAUACAUACUCCAUUUCUAUAAAGCAUUUAUGGAGGCCUCUAGAUGUGCCAGGCAUUGUACUACUGCUUUAUGUAAAUUAUUGAUGGGUCCGCGAAUCCAUUAAUAUAAAUGUGAGCCAGUUGUUGUGCACCCCAAUUUACAGGCAAGAAAAUCAAGGUUCUGAGUUGCAGAUGGGCUGAGAAAAGGCUCACCAACCACAUGUACGCACAAGAGAUUAGGAAAGAAAACUGCCAUUGGAGCCAGGCUCCAGUAAGCACUGAGUAUUCAUUGGUUUGGAUGAGGAUACUGAAAGAAAAAAAUGACAUGUAAGAGUGACUUUUCUCAGGAGAAAGAAUAGGCUGACAUCAAGAGUCUUUGCUGUCACAUUAGUGGUAUGUAUAAGGGCACAACACAACAGAAGUACAUUUUUCAAGGUUCGUAAAAGAACCCUGGGGUUUGCUUUUAGGUUUGUUUAUUACCUUUAACAAAUAUAAAAUGCCAGGUAAAUAUAUCUUUGUAUGUAGUAG
Molecule: long non-coding RNA, 3238 nt
Organism: Homo sapiens (human)
Lineage: Eukaryota; Metazoa; Chordata; Mammalia; Primates; Hominidae
Gene: NIFK-AS1
Product: NIFK antisense RNA 1
Source: Ensembl